Molecule: long non-coding RNA, 267 nt
Filed under: Vicia faba (fava bean)
Lineage: Eukaryota; Viridiplantae; Streptophyta; Magnoliopsida; Fabales; Fabaceae
Source: RNAcentral
AUGCCUCGUAGAAGAAUGGCUGCUCCAACUCCAUGUCCAGAAGAAGCUUCUCUACAAAGAAGCCAGCAACUAAGAGAACUCUAUGAAUCGUUAUCGGCCGGAGAGACAAAUCCACCAACUCGUCGACCAUGUGCUUCUUUGUCGCCGGAAGACUUAACAGAAUCAGAAUGGUUUUAUUUGAUGUGUGUCUCUUUCUCAUUUCCUCCUGGUGUCGGGAAGAAGAUGAUGAUGAAAUAUUGGAGACGACUUGAUGAAGCAAGCUCUUGA